CAGUGAACCUCUACAGAGGAAACAAAUGCUAGCAAGACAUUCACUGAACAAUGCCAGGGAUACAAGUGCCAUGGAUACUCUACCGCUAAAUGGUAAUUUUAACAACAGCUACUCGCUGCGCAAGGGUGACUAUAAUGACAGCGUGCAAGUUGUGGACUGUGGACUAAGUCUGAAUGAUACUGCUUUUGAGAAAAUGAUCAUUUCAGAAUUAGUGCACAACAACUUACGGGGCAGCAGCAAGACUCACAACCUCGAGCUCACGCUACCAGUCAAACCUGUGAUUGGAGGUAGCAGCAGUGAAGAUGAUGCUAUUGUGGCAGAUGCUUCAUCUUUAAUGCACAGCGACAACCCAGG
This 354-nucleotide small RNA is filed under the name Pan troglodytes (chimpanzee). RNAcentral's name for it is "processed transcript". The record is from RNAcentral. Lineage: Eukaryota; Metazoa; Chordata; Mammalia; Primates; Hominidae.